UGAGGAAUAUUGGUCAAUGGGCGAGAGCCUGAACCAGCCAAGUCGCGUGAGGGAAGACGGUCCUACGGAUUGUAAACCUCUUUUGUCGGGGAGCAAUAAAGCGUACGCGUACGCAGAUGCGAGUACCCGAAGAAAAGCAUCGGCUAACUCCGUGCCAGCAGCCGCGGUAAUACGGAGGAUGCGAGCGUUAUCCGGAUUUAUUGGGUUUAAAGGGUGCACAGGCGGAAAGUGCAAGUCAGCGGUCAAACGACGGGGCUCAACCCCGUCUCGCCGUUGAAACUGUCUUUCUAGAGUGAGCGAGAAGUAUGCGGAAUGCGUGGUGUAGCGGUGAAAUGCAUAGAUAUCACGCAGAACUCCGAUUGCGAAGGCAGCAUACCGGCGCUCAACUGACGCUCAUGCACGAAAGCGUGGGUAUCGAACAGGAUUAGAUACC
Molecule: ribosomal RNA, 433 nt
Filed under: uncultured bacterium
Lineage: Bacteria
Description: bacterial SSU rRNA
Rfam family: Bacterial small subunit ribosomal RNA
Source: RNAcentral